GCAGCCUGCAACUCGGCUGCAUGAAGCUGGAAUCGCUAGUAAUCGCGGAUCAGAACGCCGCGGUGAAUACGUUCCCGGGUCUUGUACACACCGCCCGUCACACCAUGGGAGCCGGAAACGCCCGAAGCCAGCGGCCCAACCGCAAGGGGGGAGCUGUCGAAGGCGGGGCCGGUGACCGGGGUGAAGUCGUAACAAGGUAUC
This 201-nucleotide ribosomal RNA is filed under the name uncultured bacterium. RNAcentral describes it as "partial 16S ribosomal RNA". It matches the Rfam family "Bacterial small subunit ribosomal RNA", at positions 1300 to 1500 of the family's 1533-position model. The record is from RNAcentral.